GAUGAAGAACGCAGCGAAAUGCGAUACGUAAUGUGAAUUGCAGAAUUCAGUGAAUCAUCGAGUCUUUGAACGCACAUUGCGCCCCCUGGUAUUCCGGGGGGCAUGCCUGUCCGAGCGUCAUUGCUGCCCUCAAGCACGGCUUGUGUGUUGGGCCUCCGUCCUCCUCCCGGGGGACGGGCCCGAAAGGCAGCGGCGGCACCGCGUCCGGUCCUCGAGCGUAUGGGGCUUCGUCACCCGCUCUUGUAGGCCCGGUCGGCGCUUGCCGACACAUCAAUCUUUUUUCCAGGUUGACCUCGGAUCAGGUAGGGAUACCCGCUGAACUUAAGUAUAUCAAUAAGCGGAGGA
Molecule: unclassified non-coding RNA, 345 nt
Filed under: soil metagenome
Description: partial contains 5.8S ribosomal RNA, internal transcribed spacer 2, and large subunit ribosomal RNA
Rfam family: 5.8S ribosomal RNA (bases 1-120)
Source: RNAcentral